This 73-nucleotide small RNA is filed under the name Lacinutrix sp. 5H-3-7-4. Its description in RNAcentral is "Flavo-1 RNA". It matches the Rfam family "Flavo-1 RNA". The record is from Rfam by way of RNAcentral. Lineage: Bacteria; Pseudomonadati; Bacteroidota; Flavobacteriia; Flavobacteriales; Flavobacteriaceae.
CCUUAGUUUGCGUUAGCGAUAGUAACGGCAUCCUUUUGUUUUACAAAAGAUAUAGUGAAUAGCGCGACCUUUA